This 106-nucleotide small nuclear RNA is filed under the name Jaculus jaculus (lesser Egyptian jerboa). The record is from RNAcentral. Lineage: Eukaryota; Metazoa; Chordata; Mammalia; Rodentia; Dipodidae.
GCACUCGCUUUGGCAGCACAUAUACUAAAAUUGGAACGGUACAGAAAAGAUUAGCAUGGCCUCAUGCAAGGAUGACACGCAGAUUCGUGACGUGUUCCAUAUUUUU